Molecule: ribosomal RNA, 222 nt
Filed under: uncultured bacterium
Lineage: Bacteria
Description: partial 16S ribosomal RNA
Rfam family: Bacterial small subunit ribosomal RNA
Source: RNAcentral
ACGCUCGACACCUACGGGGGCAGCAGUAGGGAAUCUUCCACAAUGGACGCAAGUCUGAUGGAGCAACGCCGCGUGAGUGAAGAAGGUUUUCGGAUCGUAAAGCUCUGUUGUUGGUGAAGAAGGAUAGAGGUAGUAACUGGCCUUUAUUUGACGGUAAUCAACCAGAAAGUCACGGCUAACUACGUGCCAGUAGCCGCGGUAAUCUGAGCGGGCUGGCAAGGC